AUCAAUGUUGGCUGAGUCCAGACUGGUGAUUUCUGCUUGUCCAGGAGUAGAAAGGCCCAUCACCUAUGGAGAAAGAUCAAGAUCAGAAAAAAAAACAACAACACAAUGACAGGUUUUACAGUAAACUUCAACUGGGAGUGACAAACAGCUUGAAGCAAGACACACCCUUAUUUGAAAAACAGCAAACAACAGUUUUCAACCUACUGCGGGUGGUUCUGGAAUAUAUCCUGUGCUAUAAAUGGCUGGUUCACUGUAUUGCGCUUUUCUACCUUCAAAAUACUCAAGCAUCAGAAUCAGAAUCAUCUUUAUUUGCCAAGUAUGUCCAAAACACGCAAGGAAUUUGUCUCCGGUAGUUGGAGCCGCUCUAGUACAACAAACAGUCAAUUUACAGAACACUUUGGGGACAUAAAGACAUUGACAAAAAACAAUUGUGCAAAAAGAUGCAGAGUCCUCUAGCACUUAGAGCAGUUCGAACGACUAAUAUUGCAAUAGUCCGGUGCAAUGACCAUUGUGCAAAGGGCGCUGAGACUUCAUUCAUCUGACAACACAUCAGGUGCAACUGGGGAGUUCAAUAUCUUGCUAUAGGACACUUUGACAUGGUUUCAGGGUCUCAGGAUCGUACCCUCAAGGUUGGGAGACGACCACUCGACCACCUGAGUCACUCCGCAACAUUAUUAUCCCCAGUCUUACUGCCUUGCCUUUAAAGAAUUAAACACUCUGAAACAACAUUUCAACUGGUACAGAGAAUUGAUGGACGGGUGGAUGGAUGGAUAGUUUAAUGAGUGGUGCCUUUGGAACAUGUAUGUUUAUACAUACAAAAUUCCUUUACAAAAGGGGCCGAGACCCAAACCACAUUAUCAGAGCA
Phycodurus eques (leafy seadragon) is the source of this 865-nucleotide long non-coding RNA. RefSeq lists it as uncharacterized. NCBI's taxonomy places the organism in Eukaryota, Metazoa, Chordata, Actinopteri, Syngnathiformes, Syngnathidae. The transcript is spliced from 3 exons. The record is from RefSeq and is a predicted model, not a curated record.